Molecule: ribosomal RNA, 492 nt
Filed under: uncultured bacterium
Lineage: Bacteria
Description: partial 16S ribosomal RNA
Rfam family: Bacterial small subunit ribosomal RNA
Source: RNAcentral
AGUGAACGCUGGCGGCAGGCCUAACACAUGCAAGUCGAGCGGCAGAAGAGUACGAGCUUCUUCUUUCGGGGGCCGAGUGGCGGAUGAUGGCGGGAAACCUGCCUGGUUGUUGUUUAUUACGUGAGAAAACAGGGGCUAUUACGCCAUACCUCCUUAGGGCCAACGGGUGAAAUCUUCGGAUCUCACGAUAUUGGAUGAUCGUAUGUGCCGUGGUCGGAUUAGCUAGUUGGCGGGGUAACGGCCCACCAAGGCGACGAUCCGUAACUGGUCUGAGAGGAUGAUCAGCCACACUGGAACUGAGACACGGUCCAGACUCCUACGGGAGGCAGCAGUGGGGAAUAUUGGACAAUGGGCGCAAGCCUGAUCCAGCCAUGCCGCGUGGGUGAAGAAGGCCUUCGGAUUGUAAAGCACUUUUGGUUGGAAAGAAGGGCAGUAAGUUAAUACCCUGCUGUUUUGACGUUACCCAAAGAAUAAGCACCGGCUAACUUCGUG